GUUUAAUAUAGCACAUAUAUAUGUCACACACACACACACACCCUUUUCAUGUUUCCUUACUCUAAUACUAUAUGAAAUUCAGGAAGGAAGACAGGUUAUAUGUUUAUUAAAUCUGUUUGGUUUUCUGCAGUAAAUAUUAACAGACUGAAACACCAGACUUUCCAAUGAGGCAGAUCUGGAUUUGAAUCUCACCUCAGCCACUUGAUCAUCAUGAUUAUACCUUGGAAGAGUUAGUUAAUACUCGAAACCUCAGCUUUCUUUUUCAUAAAAAAGGAUAGUAAGGAGUAAAUAACAUACAAAUGCUCUGAUAACUGCAAGUAUCCUCUCAAUUAUAGUAUCUUUCUAAUUUAUCUGAAUUCAUUUGGAUUCUUUAGACCUACCUUUUGAAGAAUUAAAGUAUUUUUUAAUUAAGAAAACUCAAUGUUAGGAAGGCUAAGUGACUUGCCCAAAGCCACAUAGAUAGCAAGUAGUAACACCAGAUUUGGUUGGAUCCAACCAUUCUGUCUCUUGAACCAGUGAUCUUAACUACUUUACUAGGCUAACUUUUUAAUAAAGAGAUUUAAAAACAACAACAACAGGAGAAAGAACAGUCUCUUCAUCAAAUAGUACUGGGAAAUCUGGACAUCCACAUGAAAAAGAAUAAAGUUGGACCUUUACGUCACACUGUAUACAAACAUUAACUCAAAAAAGACCAAUAACCUAAAUGUAAGAGCUAAACCUUAGAACACAUAGAAGUAAAUCUUUAUGACCUGGGAUUUGGCAUUACAUUCUUAAAUAUGACAUUAAAAGCAUAAAGAACAAAAGAAAAAAAAGAUAAAUUGGACUUGGUGAAAAUUAAAAAUUUUAUGCAUUAAAGAACAUUAUUAGGUGAAAAGACAACCUAUAGAAUAAGAGAAAAUAUAUGCAAACAAUAUAUCUGAUAAGAGUUUGGUAUGCAGAAUAUAUAAAAAAUUCUUAUAACUCAAGAAACGAGAUACAAACAACCCAACUUUUAAAUGAGCUAAAGGCUUGAACAGACGUUUUGCCAAAGAAGAUACACAAAUGGCCAAUGAACACAUAAAAAGUGUGCUCCACAACAUUAGUCCUAAAGAAAAUACUACUACUUCACAUGUAUUAGAAAGGAUAAUUUUUUAUGAAAGGAAAAUAACAAGUGUUAAUGAAGAUGUGAAAAUUGGAACCCUUGCAUAUUGCUCGUCGGAAUGUAAAAUGGUUUGGUUACUAUGCUUAACAGUUUGGUGAUUCCUCAAAAAGUGAAACAUCAAAUUACUGUAUGACCUAGUAAUUCCACUCUUAGAUCGAAAGAAGUGAAAUAAGUAUUCAAACAAAUACUUCUACAUGAAUGUUCACAGCAUUAGUAACAUUAGCCAAAAGGUGGAAAUAACCCAAACGAUCACAAAGAGGUGCACAGAUAAACAAACGGUGGUAUAUAAAUACAAUGGAGUAUCAUGUAGCUAUCAAAAGAAAUGAAGUACUGAUACAUACUACAACAUGCGUGAACCUCAAAAACAUUAUGGUAAGCGAAGAUGCCAGAUAGAAAGGGUCACAAUUUAUAAUUACAUUUAUAUGAAAUAUCAGAGGUAAUUCCAUACAGACAGAACAAAUUGGUAUAUGGCAGGGGUUGGGGAGAAGAGACAAUGGUUAAGUCACUGCUUAAUGGUUACAGGAUUUUAUUCUAAGGUGAUGAAAAUGUUUUAGAACUAGAUACAGGUGGUGGUAACACACCAUUGUGAACUGCUUAAUGGGUACAGGAUUUUAUUUUGAGGUGAUGAAAAUGUUUUAGAACUAGAUACAGGUAGUGGUAACACACCAUUGUGAAUGAAUGUACUAAAUGCCACUGAACUGUUCACUUUAAAAUGGUUAAUGUUAUAUGAAUUUAACUUCAAUUAAAACAUCAAAGCCAAAAAUCUUUAUCUUUUUUAGGAUAAUUAUAGUUAUUCUAUAGUUAUAAUAGUUACAGUUAAUAGUUACUACAGUCAUAUUGAUAAAACUAAUCAACCACAAUUACUUUCUGAAUAAAAGCUAAAAUAAGAUGUCAAAGCUCCUAUAUCCUACCUACAAGACAUCUAUCGUAUCUCCUU
RNAcentral lists this long non-coding RNA (2078 nucleotides) under Homo sapiens (human). Its description in RNAcentral is "HSALNT0057044". Lineage: Eukaryota; Metazoa; Chordata; Mammalia; Primates; Hominidae. The record is from RNAcentral.